GACGAACGCUGGCGGCGGGCUUAACACAUGCAAGUCGAACGGAAAGGCCCUGCUUUUGUGGGGUGCUCGAGUGGCGAACGGGUGAGUAACACGUGAGUAACCUGCCCUUGACUUUGGGAUAACUUCAGGAAACUGGGGCUAAUACCGGAUAGGAGCUCCGGCUGCAUGGUGGGGGUUGGAAAGUUUCGGCGGGUGGGGAUGGACUCGCGGCUUAUCAGCUUGUUGGUGGGGUAGUGGCUUACCAAGGCUUUGAAGGGUAGCCGGCCUGAGAGGGUGACCGGCCACAUUGGGACUGAGAUACGGCCCAGACUCCUACGGGAGGCAGCAGUGGGGAAUAUUGCACAAUGGGCGGAAGCCUGAUGCAGCAACGCCGCGUGCGGGAUGACGGCCUUCGGGUUGUAAACCGCUUUCGCCUGUGACGAAGCGUGAGUGACGGUAAUGGGUAAAGAAGCACCGGCUAACUACGUG
Molecule: ribosomal RNA, 468 nt
Filed under: uncultured bacterium
Lineage: Bacteria
Description: partial 16S ribosomal RNA
Rfam family: Bacterial small subunit ribosomal RNA
Source: RNAcentral